ACCUACGGGGGGCAGCAGUAGGGAAUUUUCGUCAAUGGGCGCAAGCCUGAACGAGCAAUGCCGCGUGAACGAGGAAGGUCUUCGGAUCGUAAAGUUCUGUUGAAGGGGAAAAAGAGCGGAGAGAGGAAAUGGUCUCCGAUUGAUAUUACCCUUCGAGGAAGUCACGGCUAACUACGUGCCUGCAGCCGCGGUAAUACGUAGGUGGCGAGCGUUAUCCGGAAUGAUUGGGCGUAAAGGGUGCGUAGGCGGCCUGCUAAGUCUGGAGUGAAAGGUACCGGCUCAACCGGUACAGGCUCUGGAAACUG
This 305-nucleotide ribosomal RNA is filed under the name uncultured bacterium. RNAcentral's name for it is "bacterial SSU rRNA". It matches the Rfam family "Bacterial small subunit ribosomal RNA", at positions 337 to 635 of the family's 1533-position model. The record is from RNAcentral.